RNAcentral lists this transfer RNA (63 nucleotides) under Trioza anthrisci. RNAcentral describes it as "tRNA-Asp". Lineage: Eukaryota; Metazoa; Arthropoda; Insecta; Hemiptera; Triozidae. The record is from RNAcentral.
AAAGAAGUUAGUUAAUAAAUAAUAUUGAAUUGUCAAAUCAAAGUAAUAAUAUAAUUACUUCUU